CCUUGAAAUAACUCCUGCCAGCGUGGCAGAGCCUGGAGGAGGUAUCUUGGAUCUCUUUUUGCAUGGGAAGGGACACCAAAAAAACUGUCUGUCACAGAGGCUGCUGGAGGAAGAGCAUCUGGAGGGAAGGACGGGUACCAGGGACCUGGGCUUUGCUGCACCCCUGCUGUGAGAAGACUUUGAAGCCUCCACCCUGCUGCAUGCAUGGGCACAGCUCAGCUCCUGUUAGUGUGUCCCAGGAGCAACAAAACAGCUCGUGCUUGGAUGGCAAUUGCUGGUUUGAAGAAUUAAGUGAAAGAGGACCAUGUUUUUCCUCGCUUUCCCAACCAGGAGAUUCAUGAGGUGGCCGGAUCAGGAUGUCACCCACAGAGCUCUGCGGAAAUGGGAGAUGGCUCCGGAGGGUGCAAGACACGGGUUUGGGGGAAAAUGGAAAUCAGAGAUGCAAGAGCACUUUCGCUUCGAGGUUUG
Long non-coding RNA from Chroicocephalus ridibundus (black-headed gull), 468 nucleotides. RefSeq lists it as uncharacterized. NCBI's taxonomy places the organism in Eukaryota, Metazoa, Chordata, Aves, Charadriiformes, Laridae. The record is from RefSeq and is a predicted model, not a curated record. The transcript has 3 exons.